RNAcentral lists this ribosomal RNA (796 nucleotides) under uncultured Archaeoglobi archaeon. RNAcentral's name for it is "bacterial SSU rRNA". It matches the Rfam family "Archaeal small subunit ribosomal RNA", at positions 83 to 879 of the family's 1478-position model. The record is from RNAcentral. Lineage: Archaea; Methanobacteriati; Methanobacteriota; Archaeoglobi.
CGGCUGCUCAGUAACACGUGGACAACCUGCCCUCGGGUGGGGGAUAACCCCGGGAAACUGGGGCUAAUCCCCCAUAGGUGAUGGGUGCUGGAAUGCCCCAUCUCCGAAAGCGCUUAGCGCCCGAGGAUGGGUCUGCGGCGGAUUAGGUAGUUGGUGGGGUAACGGCCCACCAAGCCUAAGAUCCGUACGGGCUGUGGGAGCAGGAGCCCGGAGAUGGACCCUGAGACAAGGGUCCAGGCCCUACGGGGCGCAGCAGGCGCGAAACCUCCGCAAUGCGGGAAACCGCGACGGGGUUAGCCGGAGUGCCCGUGCAUUGCACGGGCUGUCGGGGUGCCUAAACAGCACCCCAUAGCAAGGGCCGGGCAAGGCCGGUGGCAGCCGCCGCGGUAAGACCGGCGGCCCGAGUGGCGGCCACUCUUAUUGGGCCUAAAGCGUCCGUAGCCGGCCCAGUAAGUCCCCCGGGAAAUCUGGUCGCUUAACGAUCAGACUUCCGGGGGAUACUGCUGGGCUAGGGACCGGGAGAGGCCGAGGGUAUUCCCGGGGUAGGGGUGAAAUCCUGUAAUCCCGGGAGGACCACCUGUGGCGAAGGCGCUCGGCUGGAACGGGUCCGACGGUGAGGGACGAAGGCCUGGGGAGCGAACCGGAUUAGAUACCCGGGUAGUCCAGGCUGUAAACGAUGCGGGCUAGGUGUCACCGGAGCUACGAGCUCCGGUGGUGCCGGAGGGAAGCCGUUAAGCCCGCCGCCUGGGAAGUACGGCCGCAAGGCUGAAACUUAAAGGAAGUGGCGGGGGAGCAG